Long non-coding RNA from Ipomoea triloba (trilobed morning glory), 1618 nucleotides. RefSeq lists it as uncharacterized. The record is from RefSeq and is a predicted model, not a curated record. NCBI's taxonomy places the organism in Eukaryota, Viridiplantae, Streptophyta, Magnoliopsida, Solanales, Convolvulaceae. The transcript is spliced from 2 exons.
AUCCUCCGCAUUUCCCACCCGAUAAGUUCCCUCAACUGCUGUGUUUUCUCUGUAGCUACUUCCUCUACUGUUUUUUAUGUUGAGUUGAUGUUUAAAUUGGGUUAACAUUUGAUCUGCUUAUGGCUUUUUUGGAAAUUAAAAACUACUGUUUCUUUCUUGCAUGGGUUUUCAGUUUUGAGUUUUAAAAUCCAAGCACAAUCUUGUAUAUGUGCUAGAAACCAUGUCUUUUCACACCAUCUUCCACAGCAGAAUCUUGGUUUGUAAGGAUACCAGUUUAAAUUUGUCUUUCUUGAGUUCUGUUUGAAAUUGUGCACAGACUGUGUUUUUGAUGAGGUAAUUUAGUUCUUUCCAUUUCAUGGUAUGACUGCACAUAUUCUCAAAGACAUUAUCUUGAUUUUGUGCUGGUUAUGUACUGCAAUAAAGGGCUUUUUCUUUAGAUAAAUAAAUGAGGUCUGCAAAUCUAUAAUUAGAAUUGAAGUGGUGUUAAUAUUUUGGCAGUUGGAUGGCUGCAAAUCUAUAGUUGUAGUAUCUAGAGGCAGUGUUUCCCACAGUAUUGGCUUCUCAAAUAAGAACAAUUUGUAGCCAUUUGCAACCAAUCCUUCUCCACCAUCUCAUCUUUAUUGGUAUAUCUUAAAUCACAACAGCUUUGUUGAGCAUGAUAGAUUUCCGCGCGGUCUUUCGCUUCUCGCCGUUGCUCUGCAUCAUCUUCUUCGCCGUCGGGAUCAGUUCAGGAAGGCCCUGUGCCUGGUUCGGUUCACCAUCAUUUCUCUCAAGCAAUUGAGUGGAAGGAGAGGGCUAAUUAAAGGCUGAGAAGAAAACACAUUCAAUGACAAAAAUACCCCUCAUUUAAACGGUCAAUAGACUGGAAUUUAGACGGAGGACCAAAAGAGGCACUGUUACAAUAAGAGUGGUCAAAAUGUGGCAAAAAAUUUUAUGGCAGACUAAAAGUGUCUGACCCCUAAUAAGUAUAAGACCAAAAAGGGAAUUAACUCCAUCAAAUAUGGAGUAUUAUAUAGUGCAAUUAGGAGAUGAGUUGGAUCGAUUAUGUUUUUUGAUAUUAUACUUACGAAAUCGAGUAAAUAAUUGCUCAAUUAAUAGCUAAUGUGUACAUGUACACAUUCGGUGCUGAAAUUUUGGUGAUUUUAUAUAUCAGUUUUUAAGAUUUUUAUAAAUUUGACAAAUUUAAUUUGGAGCAAUAGGUAAGUUAGCCACUCUUAUAUGUACUCAUUUUUAUAUGUACUACAUUUCAGUGGCAUGACCACUCUUAUACUUUGGAGCAAUAGGUAAGCAUAGCCAGGAAGAUGUCAACUAUUGAUAAAGCAGAAGAGCUCCUCGAAAAACUUCGCAUUGCUUCUUGGGAUCCCUACUAUUCAAGGUUGCUCAAGAAAUCGGGCAAAGAUUCCGUGAAACCAUACUUGCUCUGGGAGGUGGAAAAGCUCUAUUUGAGGUAGAAAUAGGUACAUGGAUGUUUGAUAUAGAUUUUUGAAUGUUGCAUCUUCUUAUGAAUAUAAAAAAUGCCAACUAGAUUCAGUUAACAAGGCAUGAAGGCUAAUUUCAUAGAUAUAUUUGUAGAUUGAUACUUGUUUCUUUUAAAUGAUAUUUGUUGAAGUUAUUUGUA